This 433-nucleotide ribosomal RNA is filed under the name uncultured bacterium. Its description in RNAcentral is "partial 16S ribosomal RNA". It matches the Rfam family "Bacterial small subunit ribosomal RNA", at positions 29 to 507 of the family's 1533-position model. The record is from RNAcentral.
AACGAACGCUGGCGGCAUGCCUAACACAUGCAAGUCGAACGAGACCUUCGGGUCUAGUGGCGCACGGGUGCGUAACGCGUGGGAACCUGCCCUUAGGUUCGGAAUAACUCCCCGAAAGGGGUGCUAAUACCGGAUAAUGUCUUCGGACCAAAGAUUUAUCGCCUUUGGAUGGGCCCGCGUUGGAUUAGCUAGUUGGUAGGGUAAAAGCCUACCAAGGCGACGAUCCAUAGCUGGUCUGAGAGGAUGAUCAGCCACACUGGGACUGGGACACGGCCCAGAAUCCUACGGGAGGCAGCAGUGGGGAAUAUUGGACAAUGGGCGAAAGGCUGAUCCAGCAAUGGCGCGUGAGUGAUGAAGGCCUUAGGGUUGUAAAGCUCUUUUACCCGGGAUGAUAAUGACAGUACCGGGAGAAUAAGCUCCGGCUAACUCCGUG